UAGUUGGCCACUCCUCAGGUUCUGCAACC
RNAcentral lists this non-coding RNA (29 nucleotides) under Mus musculus (house mouse). Lineage: Eukaryota; Metazoa; Chordata; Mammalia; Rodentia; Muridae. The record is from RNAcentral.